Long non-coding RNA from Cervus elaphus (red deer), 1003 nucleotides. RefSeq lists it as uncharacterized. Lineage: Eukaryota; Metazoa; Chordata; Mammalia; Artiodactyla; Cervidae. The record is from RefSeq and is a predicted model, not a curated record. The transcript is spliced from 3 exons.
CAUCCUGCGGCCACUCUUCUCUGCUGUAUGAUGUGUUAGCGCACAUACUUGGGGUUGUUGGCACAGCCAUCUUCUUGUUUUCCUCCCGCCCUUUGCUCCAUCAACCUUUCUUUGAGAGGUACAGUCUCUAGUCACCAUCUGGUUCCGGGUAGCCACCUGGGACAUUUGUCUUGGUCUGAAGCCCGGGACCUUACCACCCCAUGGCUGUGCCUACUUCCCAUAGCCGAGGCUCCUGGAUCAACUCACAGCUUGCCUUGGCUUCCUUUUACUGCUGACUCUAAAUCUGAGAGACCAAAGGUGUAACAUCAGGUUGUUUUGCCUGAUAUAUGAAACCAUGUGGUUUCAGAGGAGAAGUUGGGAGCUUGAUAUGUGGGAGUCUGGGAGUGAGGUAGUGGCAACAAGUAGAAUACUGUAGGAAAAACACUGUGAGCAUUGGGGCCAUUCAUUUAAUCAAUAUCUUGUGAGCAUGACAAGUGCUGCCAGGCACCAGGCUAGACAUUGUUCUAGAAAUUUGUGGGUCUGAUGCUCAAUUCCUCCAACCAAAAUUUAUCUGACCAUCAUAACGGCUAGAACAAAAGUGAGAGGCAAUCCCAAAUCUUUAAUGUGUAUUUAUUUAUUUAUAUUUUUGGCUACACCACCCAGCAUGUGGGAUCAUCGAACCCAUACCCCUACAUUGGAAGCAUGGAGUCUUAAUCACUGGACCACCAGGGAAGUCCUGAAAUCCCAAAUCGAAUGAGGCAAUAAAGCAACUGGAACCCUUCUACACCAUGGAUUUCUCAUGAUACCAAGUGACUGCCACAACUCUUGCCUAAGAUGCUUUCAGGAACAAGAAGGAUUCAUGUCUGGGACAGAGAGGAGAAGAGCUCCUGGGAUUUGCAGAAGAAAGAGGCCUGGGGACAAACAGAUGUCAUCACUGGGGCCCCAGGAAGACCUUAUCGGGCCUGUAGACUCUUCCUUUGGAGCCUUGGUCUUAGCAGUGUUGUUUUCUGGCCCUUGGCGGAUG